RNAcentral lists this ribosomal RNA (250 nucleotides) under uncultured bacterium. RNAcentral's name for it is "partial 16S ribosomal RNA". It matches the Rfam family "Bacterial small subunit ribosomal RNA", at positions 524 to 773 of the family's 1533-position model. The record is from RNAcentral.
UACGUAGGUGGCAAGCGUUGUCCGGAUUUACUGGGCGUAAAGAGCGCGCAGGCGGCCGAGUAAGUCGAAUGUGAAAGCCCCCGGCUCAACUGGGGAAGGUCAUUCGAUACUGUUCGGCUUGAAGAUAGGAGAGGGAAGCGGAAUUUCAGGUGUAGUGGUGAAAUGCGUAGAUAUCUGAAGGAACACCAGUGGCGAAGGCGGCUUUCUGGCCUAUUCUUGACGCUGAGGCGCGAAAGCUAGGGGAGCGAAC